UUCCACCAUAAUUUCCCUCCCACUGACCAAACACAACGAGAAAGCCCUGAUCAUCAUCUUCUCUCCUCCUGACGACUCACCGCCGGAGCAAAAUUACUGCCGUCUGUUCUCUCACAUCUAAUACACUCUACUAGUCUUCUAUCUCAUGAUUACAGGAGUCCCAAGUCUUAUGGAAAUGGGGUUUGUGAAAAGUUUAAUUUAUGGUCCUCGAGGAAAGAAGUAUAAAUAUUGUAUGGUGAUUAAUUAAUUGCUUUGUUUUAGACAUAGUUGAAUAUUUGUUUAUGAUUGCAUAUUUUUACUAACCAUCAUAACAAACUCAUGGCAUUAAAUUUUUUUUGAAGCAUAUGGCAAAAGAAUGUCUACUAGUCUAGCAUCCUACUUACAUUUUUUGGGUUACAUGGAGUUUUUAAAAGGAACUAAAAUAGCAUAAGAAGACUGAGGCUAAUAGCAUUGAUUAUGAGUGCUGCUAAAUUUUAGGGAGUGAAGUACCUGCGCUCAAGAUGAUCAUGUUUGAAGACUGAGGGUUGCAAUGUGCUGAUAUAUGUAGCAGAUGUGUCUUUGUAUGCACAUCCUUCAAUUGGGGACCAACACUUCCAUCUUUUCAGGCUUAGCAAUCGCAAAGAAGUUGAUGUCUCUGCCGGGUACAUUUGAGAUCUCCUUAGAUGUUUUGUAAGAUAGGUUGUUAGUGAUGUUAAUAUGUAAAAAUUCAUUUAGAAAUUAAGUUAGACUUUUGAUUUAUUGAAUUCAGAAGUAGCUAUAUAAUAGUUGUAAGCUGCAUAA
Lactuca sativa (garden lettuce) is the source of this 780-nucleotide non-coding RNA. NCBI's taxonomy places the organism in Eukaryota, Viridiplantae, Streptophyta, Magnoliopsida, Asterales, Asteraceae. The record is from RefSeq and is a predicted model, not a curated record.